This 377-nucleotide ribosomal RNA is filed under the name uncultured bacterium. Its description in RNAcentral is "bacterial SSU rRNA". It matches the Rfam family "Bacterial small subunit ribosomal RNA", at positions 524 to 898 of the family's 1533-position model. The record is from RNAcentral.
UACGAAGGGUGCGAGCGUUAAUCGGAAUUACUGGGCGUAAAGCGUGCGUAGGUGGCUUGUUAAGUCGAAUGUGAAAGCCCCGGGCUUAACCUGGGAACUGCAUCCGAUACUGGCGAGCUUGGAGUUUGGAAGAGGGUGGUGGAAUUCCCGGUGUAGCGGUGAAAUGCGUAGAGAUCGGGAGGAACAUCAGUGGCGAAGGCGGCCACCUGGUCCAAAACUGACGCUGAUGCACGAAAGCGUGGGGAGCAAACAGGAUUAGAUACCCUGGUAGUCCACGCCCUAAACGAUGCUGACUGGACGUUGGGUGGAAUUAGCCACUUAGUGUCGAAGCUAACGCGUGAAGUCAGCCGCCUGGGGAGUACGGUCGCAAGACUGAA